CUCGCUCCCGCUAUUUAUCCGACGGCACCCUCCGCGCUUAAACCCCUCGCGCUCCGCCCACUCCACCACACCGCCCUCCUCCCUCCUCCUGCUCCUCGCCCGCGGCGGCGUACGUCCUGCUGCUGCGCGCGCGCUCUAGCCUCGGUCCCUCCUUCGGUUCCAUGGCGGAGGCUCUGGGGUAGGACUGGACGUACGAGCGAGCUUUUCGGCUCGGCCCGAAGCUCGCUCCAGCUCGGCCCGUUACAGCUCGGCUCGAUAGGAUUAUCGAGCGGGCCGAGGUCUGAAAACAGGCCCGUUUCGCGACCGAGCCGAGCCGAGUUUCGGCCGGUCCAGCUCGGUGGCUCGCUUGUGGCCCAGCCCAAUUCCACCAUCGAUCACAAUAGCUAGCGCAUUAGGGCACGAGCAACCACAGCCAGAGUCUCUCGUCUCUCCCUUUCUCUGCUCUGCGCCGCCUCACCUCUCUCUCGCCACGCUGCAAAUCUGGAUCGACGGCGACGAGCGACGCCGCGCUUCCUCGCCAACUCGGCACCGACGGCGACGGGCGGCGCGACCGUUCCUCGCCACACCGGACAUAGUCGGACGCGCCUCCCCUGGUUUCUCGCGGAACGUGACGAGCCGGAGCAGACGCCUAUCGUCGCAACAAUGGACAAGCAAAAGGGGAAGGCGAGUGGGAAGGAGAAGGAGAAAGAGAGGACGUUGGACUCCAUUAUGAAGAGAAAGUUGCCGAGCUCGGGGAUGCAGAAGGGGAAUGGGAAGGGCAAUGCAGCAGCUACUACACGGCUGCCGAGGAAGCUGACAAAUGAUUCCAGCAAUGUCCCAAUCGCUGAGUUGUUGUAUAGGGUAAAAAAGAAACCUCCGCCUUGACGUCUCCCUAACCCCACCGGCGCUGGCGUGCGUGCCGGAAUCGCCGUUGCCUCCGGCUCUGCAAACUACUAUGAGAGGGAGGCUACAUCUUCGCAGGCAAUGAAGCAUGAUAAGCAAGCGGAGGAGGAUCAUGAAGAGGUGGAAGAGGACGAGGAGGAGGACGAGGAAGAGCAAGAUACUUUGUUUGAGGUGCCGCCUGGGGUUGGUGACAAAUCAGAUUCAGAUGGGUUUGUGGAUAGUGAAGAAGAAGCCUUCGAAGGUGAUAAGCAAGUGAAGAAGAAGCCUUCGAAGAAAUGGUCGAAGCCUUGGUGUGUGGUGCUAGUUAUAUCAAAGGUUCUCACAAGGACUUCAAUGUGGUGGAGAGGGAUGAAGAUGAGGAGGACGAUGUUGAGAAUAUCAAGUUGCCCAAGAUUGUUGAUGUGGGGGGUGACAACAAUUGAUAUUCGCCAUGUGGGUGUUGCUCUUGAUAUUUUGAAGAUGGAUGUCUACAUGAUCUUCUCAUGUGGAUUGUUGAGGUCAACGUGAUAAUUUCGUGCCAUUCUUUUGUUGUGAUGAACUUCGAAUUAUGUGUGCUGUUGUGAUGAACUAUGGACCUUGAAUGAUGUUGUGAUGAACCAUGCACUUUCAACAAUGUUGUUGUGAACUUGUGAUGAACUAUGAACUUUGGAUUAUGUGGUUUUCACUAGUCAUUGUUUGGCUGUCAACAUUUUCUCAGUUUUAUGUCAAAGUGGUAAGUGUUAUGCUAUGCAAAAUUUCCUUGUUUGGCUGUCAAUAUUUGAUGUUUUCCUGUGUAAAGUUCCAGUGAAGUGUUGUCCAAAAUUCAAUAGAAAUGCUGCCCAAUUCUUUCUCUCAUAUGUGUUCCAUUGUUACAAUUUUUGUAGAAGAAUUCAUAUAAGAACAUUAUUUUUCAUUACUAUGACCAUUUCUUAAAACAAUAGACUGCUGGAUUGUUCAUUUUUAGUAGUAUAAACUGUUUGUUUUCCAAAAUAUAGGUUUAAUUACCGCAAAAAAUCAAGUAUAUGCACUAUAUAUAGAGGUCUGUACUAUUAAAUGGUUCUGGGUGAAACUGGCUUACGAGCCGGCUCGGUCUGAGCCGAGCCAUAGCCAAAGCGAGCCGAGCCGGUUGAAGUAGGCUCGUUGGCUGAGCGAGCCGAGCCGAGCCGAGCCGCUCCAGAGCGAGCCAAAGCCAGGCUCGGAUCAAGCUCGGCUC
Molecule: ribosomal RNA, 2074 nt
Filed under: Triticum aestivum (bread wheat)
Lineage: Eukaryota; Viridiplantae; Streptophyta; Magnoliopsida; Poales; Poaceae
Description: partial small subunit ribosomal RNA
Source: RNAcentral